GGUUACCUCAGGUCAGAGAAGACUACCCGCUGGACUUAAGCAUAUCA
RNAcentral lists this ribosomal RNA (47 nucleotides) under Cantharellus sebosus. RNAcentral describes it as "partial 28S ribosomal RNA". The record is from RNAcentral. Lineage: Eukaryota; Fungi; Basidiomycota; Agaricomycetes; Cantharellales; Hydnaceae.